UUUCUAUAGUGUGUGACUCCUUGAUCCCCUGUGAAUUACUUCCUAGAUUCCACAAACUCAGUCUUUCUUUUGCAAGUAUUUCCCAAUGCCUUAUUAAGCUGUACUUGGCAGUUGGCAUUGGAAUCUCAGAAAAACGCAAGUCUUGACCGUUGUCCGCAAGGAAUUCACGGUUUUCUAGGGCUGAAAUACAAUGCUACAGAAGAAAACCCAAGGUACUUAUUUUCCUUGGAAGCAUCUGCAGGGAUUCUACACAGGGUAUUUCCCUCGGGUUAUGUCUUAAAGAACCUUGAGCUUGGCAGUUCAGAGGGCAGCAGGUGAGGUGGUAAGGACACAGUUGUGAGAGCCAGAGGCGCAAGGCAGCGGGCUGUGUUCCCGAGAGAUGCCCCAUGGCUGAACGCUGCUGGAGCAGCUAUUUCAGGCGAGGAGCCCUGGAAACGGGGCUGGGGACGGCGUAGGCUCGGGAUGACACAGGCGCCUCAGUUGCCGUGUUUAAGAGUUGAGCCCAGCUUGACGGCAGUGCUGGGAGGCUCGCAAUCAAGCAUGUGUUUCAGAAGGAACACUGACCACAGCGGAGGAGACAGACCGGGGUGAGGCCAGUGUGGGAGGGAAGGAAAUCCCUGGUUCGGCUUGCCCUCUCCCGUCCUCCGUUCUCACUCUCCAAACCCACCUGCUCAACCUCACUGGGCAGGAGACAGGCUUAUGAAGCUGGUCACGCACACGCCGGCCGUGUCGCCGCUGAAGACCAGCUGCUCUCCUGAGGAGGCUUCGGAGAGAGGCUCUUAUUUCCCAGAUCCUGGCCUGGGACGCCAGAAGACUGGACUUCUAGCAAAGGACUGAGGACGUCACUCAGGAACCAGUGGGGAUUUUGCUGGAGCCUCAUUAACCCAGAGGCUCGGGUAUUAAACUCAGUGUGGCAAGUUCCCACGGUGGGAUCCAGAGUCUAUGGAGGAGAAGGGGAACCAGAGAAAAUGAGCCUGUUACACGGUUCCUCGCGGGUGACUCCGUCAGGGAAGGGGGACAAGCCCACAACCUUGUGUGAUAUCCUAGGCAGGGUCAGAAGCUUCCAUCAGGGUCCACCCAUGUCUGAGCCCUGAUGACUCUGCGCCUUACUAACUGUGGCCUCGGGGGCAAGUCACAGCCUACGGUCAGGUUUCCAUCUCUAAACUGGGAUGAGGGCUUCCCUGGUGGUCCCGUGGCUAGGACUCUGAGCGUCCACUGCAGGUGUCGU
Bos taurus (domestic cattle) is the source of this 1228-nucleotide long non-coding RNA. Lineage: Eukaryota; Metazoa; Chordata; Mammalia; Artiodactyla; Bovidae. The record is from Ensembl.